GUGAGGAAUAUUGCGCAAUGGAGGCAACUCUGACGCAGCCAUGCCGCGUGCGGGAAGAAGGCGCUACGCGUUGUAAACUGCUUUUAACCGGGAAGAAACCCCAGGACGUGUCCUGGGUUGACGGUACCGGAGGAAUAAGCACCGGCUAACUUCGUGCCAGCAGCCGCGGUAAUACGAAGGGUGCAAGCGUUAUCCGGAUUCAUUGGGUUUAAAGGGUGCGUAGGCGGAGCGUUAAGUCAGUGGUGAAAUCCUGCAGCUUAACUGUAGACUUGCCAGUGAGACUGGCGCUCUUGAGUGCGCUUGAAGUGGGCGGAAUGUGCCGUGUAGCGGUGAAAUGCUUAGAUAUGGCACAGAACACCAAUUGCGAAGGCAGCUCACUAAGGCGAUACUGACGCUGAGGCACGAAAGCGUGGGGAUCGAACAGGAUUAGAUACCCGGGUAGUCC
Molecule: ribosomal RNA, 445 nt
Filed under: uncultured bacterium
Lineage: Bacteria
Description: partial 16S ribosomal RNA
Rfam family: Bacterial small subunit ribosomal RNA
Source: RNAcentral